This 546-nucleotide ribosomal RNA is filed under the name uncultured Glomus. RNAcentral's name for it is "SSU rRNA". It matches the Rfam family "Eukaryotic small subunit ribosomal RNA", at positions 548 to 1098 of the family's 1831-position model. The record is from RNAcentral. Lineage: Eukaryota; Fungi; Glomeromycota; Glomeromycetes; Glomerales; Glomeraceae.
UUGGAGGGCAAGUCUGGUGCCAGCAGCCGCGGUAAUUCCAGCUCCAAUAGCGUAUAUUAAAGUUGUUGCAGUUAAAAAGCUCGUAGUUGAAUUUCGGGAUUAGUACGUCGGUCGUGCCUUAGGUACGUACUGGUGUUACUGGUUCCUACCUUCUGACGAACCAUCAUGUCAUUAAUUUGGUGUGGUGGGGAAUCAGGACUGUUACUUUGAAAAAAUUAGAGUGUUUAAAGCAGGCUCGCGCUUGAAUACAUUAGCAUGGAAUAAUGAAAUAGGACGUUGAUCCUAUUUUGUUGGUUUCUAGGAUUGACGUAAUGAUUAAUAGGGAUAGUUGGGGGCAUUAGUAUUCAAUUGUCAGAGGUGAAAUUCUUGGAUUUAUUGAAGACUAACUACUGCGAAAGCAUUUGCCAAGGAUGUUUUCAUUAAUCAAGAACGAAAGUUAGGGGAUCGAAGACGAUCAGAUACCGUCGUAGUCUUAACCAUAAACUAUACCGACUAGGGAUCGGAUGAUGUUAUUUUUAAUGACUCAUUCGGCGCCUUACGGGAAAC